RNAcentral lists this ribosomal RNA (468 nucleotides) under uncultured bacterium. RNAcentral's name for it is "partial 16S ribosomal RNA". It matches the Rfam family "Bacterial small subunit ribosomal RNA", at positions 28 to 507 of the family's 1533-position model. The record is from RNAcentral.
GACGAACGCUGGCGGCGUGCCUAACACAUGCAAGUCAAACGGAAGGGCCCUGAGCUUGUGGCUUGCUCGAGAGCCGAACGGGUGUGUAACACGCGAGUAACCUGCCCUUGACUUUGGGAUAACUUCACGAAACUCGGGCUCAUACCGGAUAGGAGCUCCUGCUCCAUGGUGGGGGUUGGAAAGUUACGGCGGUUCGGGAUGGACUCGCGGCUUAUCAGCUUGUUGGUGGGGUAGUGGCUUACCAAGGCUUUGACGGGUAGCCGGCCUGAGAGGGUGACUGGCCACCUCAGGACGGAGAUACGCCCCAGACUCCUACCGGAGGCCGCAGUCGGGAAUACUGCACAAGGAGCCGAAGCCUGAUGCAGCACCGUCGCGUGCGGGAUGACGGCCUUCGGGUUGAGAACCGCUUUCGCCUGUAGUGUGGCGUGAGUGACGUUAAUCAGUAAAUAAGCCACGGCUAACUACGUG